GUUGAACCCAUCUCGUGUUAUGAAUCGCAUGCACGAACACACAUCGGAUAAGGUACAUAUACCAUAAGGUUUACAUGCUAGUGGAAGAUCACAAGUGCUGUUCAGUGCUUGAAAUGAGGCCUUAAAAUUACCCGUGUCAGGAGGCUUGAAUUCCCAAUAGGCAUACUUCAAUUUGCCAGAGUUCAAGUAGAGCGCGAUCUUAUCGUUCUGGAUUUCAAAGGAAAAUGAUGAAUUGCUUGAGUUGGAGGGGAAAGAAGUCAAGCGAGUCGCAACGUUCAAUCUCUGUCCCCAAAGCAUUAUGUUUGUCGGGAAAUUGAAACUCUGCCAUUUGAUCAUGUUGAGAUCAUCUACUAACACUAGAUUGCCAGUUCUUAGCAAGUUUAGUCUCUGCAGAAAUACAGGUUCAAUAGCAGAAACAUUAGUGGCCUAAUGUUUGCAUUAGUUUGGAAAAAGAAACAUUUUGGAAACUACGUUUCAGAAAAACGUAAAGAAAAUAAAGGGAAAAAAAUGAAAUUGUUUGGAAAUAAAAACUAAAACAUAUCUAAAUGUUGAUACAUUCGAAAUAAUUGAAUAAUUAAACGUGUGUUGAGGUUUAUGAA
Long non-coding RNA from Camellia sinensis, 599 nucleotides. RefSeq lists it as uncharacterized. The record is from RefSeq and is a predicted model, not a curated record. Lineage: Eukaryota; Viridiplantae; Streptophyta; Magnoliopsida; Ericales; Theaceae.